GCAAGUCGAACGCUUCUUUCCUCCGAGUGCUUGCACUCAAUUGGAAAGAGGAGUGGCGGACGGGUGAGUAACACGUGGGUAACCUACCCAUCAGAGGGGGAUAACACUUGGAAACAGGUGCUAAUACCGCAUAACAGUUUAUGCCGCAUGGCAUAAGAGUGAAAGGCGCUUUCGGGUGUCGCUGAUGGAUGGACCCGCGGUGCAUUAGCUAGUUGGUGAGGUAACGGCUCACCAAGGCCACGAUGCAUAGCCGACCUGAGAGGGUGAUCGGCCACACUGGGACUGAGACACGGCCCAGACUCCUACGGGAGGCAGCAGUAGGGAAUCUUCGGCAAUGGACGAAAGUCUGACCGAGCAACGCCGCGUGAGUGAAGAAGGUUUUCGGAUCGUAAAACUCUGUUGUUAGAGAAGAACAAGGACGUUAGUAACUGAACGUCCCCUGACGGUAUCUAACCAGAAAGCCACGGCUAACUACGUGCCAGCAGCCGCGGUAAUACGUAGGUGGCAAGCGUUGUCCGGAUUUAUUGGGCGUAAAGCGAGCGCAGGCGGUUUCUUAAGUCUGAUGUGAAAGCCCCCGGCUCAACCGGGGAGGGUCAUUGGAAACUGGGAGACUUGAGUGCAGAAGAGGAGAGUGGAAUUCCAUGUGUAGCGGUGAAAUGCGUAGAUAUAUGGAGGAACCCAGUGGCGAGGCGGCUCUUGGUCUGUACUGACCUGAGCUCGAAGCGUGGGAGCAACAGAU
RNAcentral lists this ribosomal RNA (739 nucleotides) under uncultured bacterium. RNAcentral's name for it is "bacterial SSU rRNA". It matches the Rfam family "Bacterial small subunit ribosomal RNA", at positions 57 to 778 of the family's 1533-position model. The record is from RNAcentral.